AUUUGAAUAAUUUAAUUAAAAUAUCAGUUUGUGGUUCUGAAAACGUAUAAAUAUUUACUUCAAAUU
Molecule: transfer RNA, 66 nt
Filed under: Micadina phluctainoides
Lineage: Eukaryota; Metazoa; Arthropoda; Insecta; Phasmatodea; Lonchodidae
Description: tRNA-His
Source: RNAcentral